AAUUUUUAAAAAGAUGAGUGUGUAUGCACACAUGCAUUGUGUGUGCAUGUGUGUAUACCUGUGUAUGGGUGUGUGCAUGCACCUAGGGCUUAGGCAGGGUCCAAGCUUGCUAUUCACAGUUGCCUGGGUGCAUCUGGAGAGAUAAUGGCAUUGUGGAGGUACAUUCUUUUUGCAGGCAUCCUGGGGAGCACAUCCAGGAUAGGUUGGCAGACUUGACAGCAGCCCCUCAGGGUUCUGGGGGAAGGUGCAUGCCCAUUAUAGGGUGGUGGCCCUUCUGGUUGGCUCCAUCAGAUGGGCCUGAGGCCUGUGAGUUCAGAAAGCAGUGGCAGUGGUGUACCUGGUUUGGGGCUUGUCUGAUGGCAGGAGACAGACCAGGGGGAAAAGUAUUCACUUUUCUCAGUUGCAGGGCUCAGGGUCAGAGAGGGAAGUGGUGUCCUGUAGGGGAAGCUUUACAAAGAGCUUGAGGACACCUGGGGCCCCCACAGGCUCUGGGAAUGUGGUAGGAUUGUGAGCCUGUAUGAGCAGGGGGGAGCAUGGUGGAAGGUGACCUUUAUAUGGUCACUGUUCCUGUGGCCCACUAUCUUCCCAGACUGGCUAGCCUCCAGGAAGCCGAGGUGUUUGUGCUGAUGGAAGGGGCAGAUGCAUGUUAGAAUGUUGCCAUGGUUAUUGUUGGAGAGGGCACCUUGUAGAAGCUUUUAAAUUUCUUCACACUUUUCUUUAUUUUUAAAAAUUUGAACACAUUUUUACAAUAAAAGUGGCUGCUUGGGGCUGGGUUCGGUGGUGUUGGCCUGUAAUCCCAGUGGCUAGGAAGACUGAGACAGGAGGGUUGCGAGUUCAAAGCCAGCCUCACCAAAAAAAUUGAGAUGCUAAGCAACUCAGUGAGAUUGUGUCUCUAAAUAAAAUACAAAAUAGGGCUGGGGAUGUGGCUCAGUGGUUGAGUAACCCUGAGUUCAAUCCCCAGUACCAAAAAAAAAAAAAAAAGUGGCUGCUUGGUCAUAUACCAUUUAGAAGCUGGAACAAAGCAGAGCUGCUCC
Molecule: long non-coding RNA, 1034 nt
Filed under: Marmota monax (woodchuck)
Lineage: Eukaryota; Metazoa; Chordata; Mammalia; Rodentia; Sciuridae
Source: RNAcentral